Molecule: long non-coding RNA, 808 nt
Filed under: Numida meleagris (helmeted guineafowl)
Lineage: Eukaryota; Metazoa; Chordata; Aves; Galliformes; Numididae
Description: lncRNA (ENSNMEG00000007161.1)
Source: RNAcentral
GGUUCAGGAGUGUGUGACAGCAGCUGGGGCUCUGUGAGAGGCUUAUGUUAGACCUGUCAGGGAGCACGUUGGCUACAGCCUCUGUGCUGUGGGAUAGGACAGGUUCUGGAAGGAAUGUGUCUGCCCUUCCAGCCAUCUGUUUGAGAAGACAGAGAGAAGGACUUCAAGUGAUAUUUCAAACUGAAAUAGCACAUCCAGGACUGGGAAAUGUCCACAUCCACUGGGACUGGUGAACUCCAAUGCCUGUACGAGAACAAUUGAUUCUUUGAAGCCAUAAGGAUGGUACUGAGACUGUCCAGCUACUGCAGCAUGAGAACGCUCUACAUGAGCAGCAGUGAGGAACGUGCUGAAAUUGAGGCAAGGGUAAUCACUCUUCUUUCCAUUGUAGGUAAUAUUUACCCUUAUAGAGGUUGACAAGGGGAAACACAAGCCCCAGGAGUGACAGAACUUAUUUUUCUAGGCUGACCAUGGUGAAACUGUUUCAGCAACUUCCAGGUCAAAUACUGAAUAUUUCCUUAGUCCAUUUGCCCCUGUUUUACUAAAUAAUUCCAAGCCGGAGGUAGGAAGCACAUUUUGGAUUUUUCUGUUAUCUGUGUGGAUGCAAAUGCAGUAUUUUCCACAAAGAUGUUCCAUUAACCAGUCACAGGUGUUAGAUGAUUCAACUUAAUAGCUGCUAUUUCUAUUUAUUUACAGAAAAUAAUUUCCUGUUUUUACUUAAUUUUAGUUGUUACUGUAAUACUAUAAUGAAUAAGUUUCUGUAGUGUUGCAAUUUAUUAUAAUUGUAAUAAAAAAAACACAUACAUGUCCA